UACCAGCACCCCGAGUGGUCGGGACGAUUAUUGGGCCUAAAGCAUCCGUAGCCGGUCCUACAAGUCCUCCGUUAAAUCCACCUGCUUAACAGAUGGGCUGCGGAAGAUACUAUAGGGCUAGGAGGCGGGAGAGGCAAGCGGUACUCAGUGGGUAGGGGUAAAAUCCUCUGAUCCAUUGAAGACCACCAGUGGCGAAGGCGGCUUGCCAGAACGCGCUCGACGGUGAGGGAUGAAAGCUGGGGGAGCAAACCGG
This 253-nucleotide ribosomal RNA is filed under the name uncultured bacterium. RNAcentral's name for it is "partial 16S ribosomal RNA". It matches the Rfam family "Archaeal small subunit ribosomal RNA", at positions 474 to 727 of the family's 1478-position model. The record is from RNAcentral.